This 1067-nucleotide long non-coding RNA is filed under the name Heterocephalus glaber (naked mole-rat). RNAcentral describes it as "lncRNA (ENSHGLG00100041797.1)". Lineage: Eukaryota; Metazoa; Chordata; Mammalia; Rodentia; Bathyergidae. The record is from RNAcentral.
AGACCUUCGGAAAGUUGGAAAACGGCAACAGCUCAUCCUCCCCUCUUCUCUGUCUCCCUCCAAGGGGUCAGGACGGGAGACACCUUCAGAAGUGUGCCCAGCAUCGUUGGGUUCUAAUACCAAGGAAGUGAGGUCGCAUCCUCAAAGUUCCUCUACAGUUAGGGGGAGAGCUGACGCUAGAAGUAUGCUUGAAUGAAAACUGAAUUGCAAUGUGCCGGACUAUUCUGAAGAGUGUUUGACUUCUAACAUCAAAUUCUUCACAAGACAAAGUUGAGGACUUUCCAGGACCUUUCACCAGAACCUGAAUGGACUGUCUAGACCAAAGUGCUAUUUAUGGUACAUGAAUCCUAGAGCUGUGCUAAAGAAAUCUGCAAAGCAGAGAACCAGAUUGAGAUGUGAGUGGUAUUGGAUUUAACUCCAAGAGCCCCCCCAAACUGCCAGAGCUCUAGCUCCUUUUUUGUGAAGGAAAUUCACAUUAUAUUUUAACAUUCCGUUGACUUGCAAGGGAGAGCUGGUGCUAGAAAAAUGCUUGAAUCAAAACUGAAGUGCAAGCUGUGCAACAUUCUGAAGAGUGUGUUUGGAUUCUAACAAGAAGUUCAUCUUAGGACAUUGUUGACUUUCCAGGACCUGUUUUUCAGCUGAACCUCAGUGAACUUUCUGAUAAAGUGCUAGUCACAUUACAGGCCUCAAAGAUAUGUGCUGCAGAAAAAAACAAUGCAGAAAGCCAGAUUCGGAUGUGAAUGGCAUUGGAUGCACCUCCAAGAGUAGAGUAUAUUCACAUUGUGACAGUGCUCUAAUUGCUUUCUCUGAGAAGGAACUGCAAUUUAUAUCAUAUCCUUCCAUUGACCUACAUGGGAGAACUGUCACUGGAAGAAGGAUUGAAUGACAACUGAAGUGCAAACUUCUGCACCUUUCUGAACCAUGUGUUUGGCAUCGGACAUCAAGUUCUUCUUAUGACAAAUUUGAGGACAUUCCAGGACCUGUCUUGCAGCAGAACAUGAAUGCACUGUCUAAGCCAAAGUGCUAUUCAUGGUACAAGCCUCAUAGAGAUGUGCUACAGAAAUCAC